GAUGAAGAACGUAGCGAAAUGCGAUAAGUAGUGUGAAUUGCAGAAUUCAGUGAAUCAUCGAAUCUUUGAACGCACAUUGCGCCCUUUGGUAUUCCUUAGGGCAUGCCUGUUCGAGCGUCAUUUAAACCUUCAAGCCCUGCUUGGUGUUGGGUGCCUGUCCCGCCCCCGCGCGUGGACUCACCUCAAAUCCAUUGGCGGCCCCCGCAAGGCCACGAGCGCAGCAGAAACGCAAACUCGUGUGCCCGGCGGGCGGCUCCCAGAAGCUACACCCACCAUUUUGACCUCGGAUCAGGUAAGGAUACCCGCUGAACUUAAGCAUAUCAAUAAGCGGAGGA
Molecule: unclassified non-coding RNA, 335 nt
Filed under: soil metagenome
Description: partial contains 5.8S ribosomal RNA, internal transcribed spacer 2, and large subunit ribosomal RNA
Rfam family: 5.8S ribosomal RNA (bases 1-120)
Source: RNAcentral